CCUCAACACAAUCCCAUGACCCUAAUACUCGCCUGACCCAUGCCCAGCCACCUGACCCGCUUCAUCUCUUCUUAAAUCUUAGCCUUCCAUUCCACUCCAAUCCAACAGCCUACUACUAAUUCCCCAGCCACAUAAAACCUUACCAUUUGCUAACCCUAACCCUAAAGACAACUCCAAACGGUGCCCACCCCUCUUUUCCUCCACUGUCGCCGCGAGCCACCUUCAAUCCACCAGAAAAUCCACGUUGUCAUCCAUCCAUGUCACUAGUCCCCUCCCUUCGAUGAUCCCCUCCUUCCACAUCACUGAAAUCCCAACGAAUCUCAUCAUUAUAGACACGUUUUCUUGCUUUCUAUGUUGGAAUCGAAUAAAUGGAGGUCGUAGAUUGAGUCACUGUCAAUCUAGACUCUCCAUUUGUUUGAUUUCGAACUAUAAAAGAGAGAAAUCAGAGAAAAAUUGGGGCUCUGGGAGGAGAAAAUUUCAGAGAUGGAAAGCUAGGGUUUUAGUUCCGAUUUGGCAAUCUUCGUCUUCAAAUUUUAGUUUCAUUCAUAUAAAGAACGUUAGAGUUUUUUUUAGUUUGUUCUUUUGAUUUCCUAAAUAGAAAACAAAAAAAUGUAUACUAGCUUCUUGACUUGGUUUUCAACUAUGGAGUUUGAUUGAGGUUUGCUUUGGAGUCGAAGCCGUCGUUCAACGAAAGUUCGUGGUUUCUGUCGAGUCUCGGAUUUCAACAGCUGGUUUCCUUUUCAAGCUCGUUGCCAAGUUUUAUACUUCUUGUAUCACAUUCGAACAUCAAGGGAUAAUCGAAAUAUCAAUUUUCAGGUUCAUACCUCAUCCUUUACUGCUUUCAUAUGGAUCCAAGUAUGAUAAGUGCUAAGUUAAUCUAAUUUAUGGAGUAUUUGAGAAUCGGUUCGAAUAAGUUAACUGAAAUUGAUUGAUGUUCUUUGCUUCCAUUAUAUGUUGAAGUAUAUUUCAAUUUCAGAUUUGUCUAGUAUAAGAUGAUCGAGUCGUUGGCUGCAUUUUUGUAAGUUUAUUUCGUUUGUUGGCUAAGUUUAACCCGAAACUGAUUCAAAGCUUUCUCUAGUGGUUAUUCAUUUUUGUCAAACUGGUUCAUUAGUUUGCGAAUGGUAAUUGAGCUUGAAUAUGUUUGGUUCGAUAUGUUUUGAUCAAGGUCUGGAUGGUUGUGUUAAUGUCGAACGGAUUGUGGCCCGUUAGUAUGCUUUUCUUGGUUUUAGAGUAUGACCAUGUCCAUGUUUUAGCAGUUUGAAAAGACAGUGAUUGUAAAUUGGGAUUAAUGGUUCUGUUUCCUUUAUAGUCAUGACUUAACGCUAGGCUAACUUGUGUACUUGGUUCAUUCUUAAAUGCGUGGGUCGACACUUAGCUUCACUCAUAGGCAACAGAAUUUAAUUUUCAUGUUCACAAAGGUCGUGUUUAGGAAGUACUAAUGAUGUAACGUGAAUCCUUCAUCAUUAUGCUUCAAGUUCGUCGUGUUUAAAUGUCAUCAGAAGUUACCAUUGGUGUCAUGGAGUUUUAUGCCUUGGAAUGAGAAUUUGAAUUGAAGUCCUUUUUCUUAUUUUCCUUUAGUUUGAUCAACAAUCAGUCAAGAAAUAGUUUGUUGAAAUUCUGUGAUAUCAUUGUGGCUAUGUGAAGUUGGAGUGCACUGGAUGGGCAUGCUUUAUUUUUGUUGUGUUAUGAUGCAAAAGUGUAAGUUUAGUGAGCUUAUUAAUAUUCAGUUGUUCCUUCUAACCCUUCUAUAAGUUUAACUUUGCUUAAUUGUUUUAGUGUGUUGUUGAGUAGGUAAAUCACUUUAGUGAUCUUUCUUAUUAAUUUGAUAAAUCUUGAGGUAGAGUAAAUCAGUUAAUUCACACAAUUAAUUGAUGAGUUUUCUAGGACAAUUGGGUGAUACCUGAAUCUUUAAAGGGGCUAUUCCAAGUAGCUUUAAUUUCCUUUCUCUAUCUUUGGUAGCAUAUUUGCUUGUUUCAUGAGUGCUUAUUUUUCUCGAAUGUUUGGUUGUUUGGUCUGAUGUAUUCCACAUUGAUACGAUGGUUAGACAUAAAGACAUAUGGAUGAUAGUUGUUUGUUUGGCCGUAGGGGUGGGGGAUCAAAGGAACAGAACUGAAAUUUGAGAAUCGAACGUUCAUAGUUUCUAUUUUUUCUUCAUCACUAGGAGCAUGUUUAGGCCGACCACUUGGGUAGACAAACUUUAGGAUUUUGUUAAUUUUGAGGUGAGAGGUCGUUCCCUUAGUUAAAUUUAUCCGGGGAAUGCCCCGAAAGACUUGUACAUAUUUUAUUCCGGGGAAUGCCCCGUAGUACUCUAUAAUUAGAGGACAUGACGAAUAUCGUAGAAGUAGUGUAGGAUAAGUUAGAACUUUAAUUUCCCUUGUUUUAACUUUUUUUAUUGGGUAGGGAUGACCCGGGCCUCGUUUGUAUUAAUUUUCUCAUUUCUAUGUUUAUUACCUCAAUUCGAAUAUUUUAAAAGCCAACUUGAUCAUGUACGCAACCGUGAUUUUCACGGAACUUGGGGAGUGCCUAACACCUUCUCCCCGAGUCAAAUGAACUCCCUUACCUAAAUCUCUAGUGUAGACUUAAUUUUGGAGUCUAAAGUGUUUUAAAGAAAAAAUCAUGUUUUAAAAAAAUGGUGACUUGGCACAUCGAAAUCAAAGUCAGGUGGCGACUCUGAGUUAUUUUCUUUUGAAUAAAAUUUUGUCACUUUUUUUUAGUUAAAAACCCUUUUGAGCUUUACUAAUAUUUUUUAUUAUUUUUAAGAAUGUUGGUGAGUUUUUUUAAAAAAGGGGUGUGACAGCUCUGGCGACUCCGCUGGGGAGUUGCAGGUUCGAGCUGAUACUUGAUUUUGUUGGCUUUUUAGAAUAUUCGGUUGAGGUUUUUUAUAUUUUCUUUAUUUUCUUUAUUUGAUUUAUUUUGUUUAUGUCGCUUUAUUUGCUAGUUGUUUUAUGUGUUUACAAUUUUCCUUUAUGUGUUACUGCUUUAUAACUGUCAUCAUAUGCAUUACCCGGUCAAUUCUUUCUGCAACAAGUCUCGGAGGACGCGUCGCGUACACGAACUCUUGUUGAGUCACCCUUAUUUUAGGAGGGGGCCAUCGGACGUAUGGAGUGGGUGGAAAGCUUGACCACCCACCAACGACCAUACGCUCCCCCGAAUUGCCUUGUUAGUGAACCCCAAACUUAGGUCAGCCUUUAGGUCAUUCUUAUUUGCAUCAUGUCAUUCAAACCUAGCAGGGCUUGGUCCCAAGCACCGUGUCCCGUCGUAGGAGGCCUAUCUAGAUUAUGUCAAAAAUGGGUCUGUGGCCCAAAAUAACAUUUAAGCAUCCUAUGUGCUAAAUGUUGCAUCCAUGAGGGUAGAAAGGUUAUUUGGCAGACCGAUGUUUUGGAAAGAAGGGUAAAAAUGAAGCAAGUAGGGCUCAAUUAUAUUUUUAUUUCACAACUUUUUCAAGAAAAACCAAAAAAAUUGAAAAUGAAAAAUCCAAAAAGAUUUUUCACUUUCCAUCAUUUUUCAAAAAAAAAUCAAAAAAAAAAAGAAAGAAAGAAAAAGUAAAUAGGAAAAUACAAAAAGGUUUUACAUUCCCCAUCAUCUUUCAAAAAGACAAAAAAAUAUAGUUUUUCCAAAUUAGUUGCAUUGUUUUAAAAGCUUUCUCCCAUGUCCAAUCUUUUCGAACUACACGAACAUGAUUCUCGUCUUCCGGGGCGGGAUACGCAGGCAACCCACAUAGGGUCCGAUCUUCUUAGUAAGUCUUAGGUUCUUGGCUUCUGGGGUCGUAGCCAAAUUUUGCAUGUAUAGCCAUAUUUGGCCACCUCGGCUGUUCUUGCAAAAUAGGGUUAUUUUCUCAAAGUAGCUUGUUAUCUCAUGUCUUAGAGCCCUGAGUCUACAACAAAGUGUCCUCUCAAUUCUAAGGCCCAUUCCUGUUAAAUUUGCAUGUCUGGCCACAUCGGCCAUUCUUGCAAAAUGGGGCCAUUUUGGCAAAAGUGGUUCAAUUACCAAUGUCUUAGGAUGUUGAGUCCACAACUCGGUGUCAUAUCACUUUAAGGUCCAUCUUUGUCGUGUUUGUGUCCCUAGCCACAUUUGGCCAUAUCGGUCGUUUUGCAAAAUGGGUCAUUUUUGCAAAGUAAUUUUUAGGCCAUGAUUGUUGGGAGUUUGAAGUCGUGUAAGCCUUAAAUGGGUUAUUUUUCAUGCAUUAGGGGUCAACUCUGUCAAGUUUGCACUAAUAGCCACCCUCGGCCACUUAGGCCAUUUUUGUAAAGAAUAGCCAAAUCAUGUCUUGCAGCUGUCCACUAGAAAAUAUUGUGGUGUCACAUAGUGUACCGAGUCGCUAACCAUGUUCUCUUCAGGUAUGGACCCACUGAUUCGAUCCAAAGUGCUGAUGGUAGUAAAAAUUCCUAGGAAGUUGGUCAAAUGGUGGAAAAUGUUUUUGCUGUUAGAGCAACAUAAGCUAAUGCAGAAAUUGGGCACCCUCACUUCCCUUCUUGAUAUCACACCUCGCCUAGACUUAGUGGAGGUGAUGCUGACUUAUUGGGAUCCGGAAAAUUUGAUUUUCAUAUUAGGAGAGUGUGAGAUGACUCCUACCUUAGCAGAAAUGUCUGGUCUCACUCGUUUAAGCUAUUAGGAAAAGACACGAUACUUCUCCGAGACCACUCUAGGACAAGGUUCCUCAGCGACCUGGGCCUGAAAGACAACAAGCAUUUAAAAUGCCUCGAGCAGUCCUGGAUAUCCUUGGAUUAUUUGUUUGCUAGGUUUGGACCACAGGAUAGUUUUGACGUCUUUUGGGAUAAGUUUUUCACAACCAAGGCAAAGUGGCAAAGACGUCGACUCGAAGCUUUAAGCCUUGUUGGGAUUAUUGAUUUUUCCAUUAGAUAAGAGGCACAUUAGCACCCGUCUACAGUCAGUGGUAAUGGCACUAUGUCAUGAGAAGCAAUGCAAAACAGUUACCGUUGUGCCGAUGAUCUUAGCAGAGUUGUAUCAAGCCCUGAGUGAGGUUAGGGGAGGUGUCAGGUAUUUUGAGGGAAGUAACCUUUUGCUACAAUUGUGGAUGAUGGAGCAUUUUCACACCGCUUCCUUACUUUGUUCCAUCGACCAUGCCUUGAGCUUCCUUACUUUGUUCCAUCGACCAUGCCUUGAGGGAUCGGGUGGUAUGCAUCGAGCGUAGGAUGAAAUCUCCUAAGUUUACAUACCCAGUAAGCGUCACAGCUUGGAUUGAGUUCCUUUGUUUGAGGACAAAUGGGAAUGUUUUGUGGGCUUACCUUUGGCUACCUUUAGAUGAGAUCUUGGUAGGAUGCCGCAUGCAACCUUUCCUGAUGUUAAUAGGACUUAAGUGUGUCAAGCUGUACACUCCCGUUAGGGUAAUGCGACAGUUGGGUAGGAGACAAGAGGAGCCUCCAACUUUGAAUCUUUGAAGGCACAUUAUGUAUUUUAGCAAAAAGGCGGCUGACGAAAACAAGUAUGUGCAAUACUGGAACAAUGCUAAUAGGAUGAAGAAAAAUACAUUAGUAGAGGAUGUUGGCAGGCUCGAGUGUACUCAGGAGUACUUGAUGUGGUUACAGUCCGUCCCACGAGGGGUCAGCACCCCAUUGAUAGCACAACUUAGGGGUCGGGCAGUUCAGACAGAUGAUUUUGAGGAGGCAUCGAACCAAGAUCCUUGGGAUAAGUUUGAGUUGAUAAAGUCUCAGUUAGCGGGAUUGGCAGCAAAUGUGGAGCAGCAUGGCCAGUAUUUGUUUAGGGUCGGCCUUCAGGAUGCACCGGAGCCCACCUUCAAAGUCACAGAUCCUUACUCCUGCACUCCCCACCUUGAGCCUCAUGUUGAAACUAACAAACCACCCAAGAACACAGAGCAAGAGUAGAUGUUCAGGAAAGUAAAGAGUCUGGAGCAAUCAUUGAGAAAUAUGCAAGGGUUGGGAAACCAGGUGAGUGUGGCCUAUAAGGAUUUGUGUUUGUUCCCCGAUGUCCAACUGCCUGUCGGGUUCAAGAUGCCUAAGUUUGACUUGUAUGACGGACAUGGGGAUCAUGUAGCUCAUCUGAGAGGGUAUUACAGUAAAAUGAGAGGUGCCAGGGGAAAAGAUGAAUUACUGAUGGCAUACUUCAGCCAGAGUCUGAGUGGAGCAGCUUUAUAAUGGUACACCCGCCAGGACGCCAGCAGGUGGUACACAUGGGACGAUAUGGCUUAGGCCUUCGCCGGCACUUUCAGUACAAUAUAGACAUUAUCCCAGACCACCUAUCUUUGACUAAGGUGGAAAAGAGGCCCAGUGAAAGCUUUAGAGAAUAUGGGUUCCGAUAGAGGGAGCAAGUUGCACGAGUCAAUCCUCCGUUGGAAGAAGACGAGAUUGUUGAAUACUUUCUUUAAGCCUGGAGUCUACUUACUAUGGCCAUUUGAUUUCAGGCAUUGGUAAGUCUUUCAAUGAUGUGGUAAAGAUGGGAGAAAUGGUGGAAGAGGGGCUCAAGUCGAGCAAGAUCAUGAGCUACCCCGCCAUAAAAGCAACCACCCAGGCAAUCCAGAGUGGUACCGAAAGUUUGCUAGGCAAGAAAAAGAAAGACGAUAUCGCCAUGGUUGUCUCUGACCAUGGCAUGGACAAAGGGGUUCACCUCAUCAGUACACCCAUCCUUGACCCCGACCUCAAACCUAUGCCCAAGCUCCAUAUAAUCCACCCCAAUAUUACUUUCCCUGGCAAAACCCCCAAUACUCAGCCAGGCCACCUUACUACCAUGUCCACCAUGCCCAGUCAUACACCCAACCUCCUUCUUACCCACAAUGGCGCCUAGCCCCACAGAAUACCUACCCAGCUCCACAAAAUUCCUACCUACCUCCACAAACAUACUGAAACCCUGUCGGUCUAGGAUUCUGGCCCAAGCCAGUAUUCAGAAAUGAAAGGCUGCAGCGAAAGAAAACUUUUACCCCGUUUGGGAAGUCUUAUACCAGUCUAUUCCAAAGAUUGAGGCAAAUGGAUCUGUUGAGGCCAAUCGAGUCAAAAUUGCCAAACCUUCCUCCAAAGAAUCUAGAUUACUCCCUCAACUGUGCAUAUUGUUCUGGUGCUUCGGGGCACGAUACAGAAAAGUGUUGGCAUUUGAAAAAUGCCAUCUAAGAGCUCAUCGACACAAAAUCAGAUUGUGGUCGAAACUCUGAGAGCACCCAACAUCAAUCAGAACCCAUUGCCGGCCCAUGAUGAAACAAACAUGAUUGAGAUAGUUCACAAGGAUGGGGAGCCCAAGAAGUCUUCUAAGUCCGUCAUGAUGAUUCGGGCCAGUGAAAGUAAUAUGGUUAAAGCUCCAGACUCUACCAAAGCAAAACCCUUGACAGUUAAAGGGGCGACAGAAAAGCUGAGCUCGCUCAAUUUGAAGCCACCAAUGUUGGUCAUGAAAGGGACUUCAAAAGAUAUUGGGCCAAGUCUGGAAAGUUCAAAAGUGGUAGUGCCAGGGAUUCCAAGUAAGCCAGUCAUAGUUGUGAAGGGGGCUCCUAUUACCCCUAACAUCAUUAGACUAGUGACCCAGCUGCCAGUGGUUGAUGCCAAGGCUGUUCCGUGGAAUUACAAAUAAGUGAUAGUGAUAUAUAAAGGAAAAGAAAUAGAGGAAGAAGUUAAUGAAACUGGAGGAUUGACUCGUUAUGGGAGAUGUUUCACCCUAGAAGAAUUAAGAAAAGCCAAGCCAUUCAAGGAUAAUCAAAUGCCAGUAAAGAAAUCGGUCACCGAAAAAGAGGCUGAGGAGUUCAUGAAAAAGAUGAAAGUGCAGGAUUAUUCCAUUGUGGAGCAGUAAGGAAAACACCAGCUCAGAUUUCUCUUUUGUCUUUGCUGAUACAUUUAGAUGAACAUCGCAGGGUCCUGAUGAAGAUUUUGAAUGAGGCACAUCUUCCUGACAAAAUCACAGCGAACCACUUGGAAAAUAUAGCUAGCAAGAUCUUUGAAGUAAAUAGGAUCACUUUCUCAGAUGAUGAACUUUCUAUGGAGGGUACAGAACACAACCGAGCUCUUUAUCUCAUGGUAAAGUGUGAAGAUUCUAUUGUCUCAAGGGUUUUAGUUGACAAUGGCUCUAGUGCGAAUAUUUGCCCCCUGUCUACUCUACAAAAAUUGAAUAUCGGCACCGAAAGAAUCCACAUGAACCGUGUGUGUGUCGAGGCUUUGAUGGGGGAGGUAAAGACUUUGUUAGAGAUAUAAUGCUCGAAUUAUCGAUAGGGCCAGUUGAGUUCACCAUGGAAUUCCAAGUGUCAGAUGUGGUUGUCUCUUACAAUCUGUUGUUGGGUAGGCCCUGGAUACAUGUUGCUAAGGUAGUCCCGUCUUCUCUGCACCAAAUAGUGAAGUUCGAAUGGGACAGGCAGGAAAUAGUUGUGCAUGGUGAUGAGGACUUAUCAGCUUGUAAUGACACAAUUGUUCCGUUUAUUGAAGCUGAAGAUGAUAAGGGACCUUGGGUCUAUCAAAGUUUUGAAACAGUGUCUGUUGAGAAUAUUCCUGAAGGAAAAUACAUUCCGGGUCCUAAGCUAUCCUUCGUGUCUAUCAUGGUUGCGAAUGAAAUGUUGAAGAAUGGUUUUUUGCCUGGCAAGGGUCUGGGCUCAUCUCUGCACGGUAUUGUGCAUCUAGUGCGCCCUAGUGGGAAUCCUGGUACAUUUGGUUUGGGAUUCACGCCCACAGAGAAGGACGUAAAAAGGGUUAAAAACCUGAAACAGAAGGCAUGGUCACUCCCCAAGCCUGUCCCUCACAUCUCUAAGUCUAUUAUCAAUCUAGGGGCCGAAAAACCUCCAACCUCGUCAAUCCCAAAACCUACGGUUGAUGUUGAUGAAGAGCUGAUCAAGAGGUUCCAGAGUCUGUUUGAUGAGGUCAAUAUUGAAGAAGUUGGUGAAGGUUCUAGUAAAGCAGACGUGCAGCUCGUGGGGCCAAACGUGAAGCUUAGCAAUUGAGAAGCUACUCCUCUCCCCACCAGGAAGGAGUUUUGGUAGUCUGCUUUGUUUUCCUUUCUGCUGUCUAGGUUAUUCUAGGGUUGUAAUCUAGAUUUUUAAUUUUUGCUUGUUUUGAUGUUCAAACUCUUCUAUCCUUUUAUUUUCAAUGAAAUGCAAUUUCCCGUUUUCCAGUGUUUCUAAUAGUGUUUCAUUUUGUUUUUCUUUUGUACAGUUCUUUUUAUGUUGGUUGCAAUGACACGACAUGCGUGAGGAAUUUUCAACCAAGUCUUAAAAGCCAAUCUAAUUCUGAAAUAAUAAUCCAAGAAGUAGAAUAUAAUGAUGAAAUAGAAUAUGAUGAAGAAGCAGCAUUUAAGGAAAUCAGUAAAGAGCUAAAACAAUUUGAAGAAAAACCAAAGCCUAAUCUGAGUGAAACUGAAGCAAUCAAUUUAGGGGACCAGGAUAAUGUAAGGGAAACCAAGAUAAGAGUGCAUCUGGAAUCACAAGUUAAGGAAGAAAUAAUCAAAAAAUUGUUUGAGUACAAAGAUGCCUUUGCAUGGUCGUAUGACGAUAUGUCGGGCUUAAGCACUGAUUUGGUAGUUCAUAAAUUGCCAACUGACCCAGCAUUCCCUCCUGUCAAGCAAAAGCUAAGAAAGUUCAAGACUGACAUGAGUGUGAAGAUCAAAGAACAAAUCACAAAGCAGCUUGGUGCAAAGGUCAUUCGAGUCAGUUGAUAUCCCACUUGGUUAGCUAACGAUGUACCAGUACCAAAGAAGGAUGGUAAGACUAGGGUAUGCGUUGAUUACCGUGAUCUUAACAAAGCGAGCCCAAAGGAUGAUAUUCCAUUGUCGAACACUCACAUUCUGAUCGAUAAUUGUGCCAAACAUCAGAUUGGGUCUUUUGUGGAUUGUUACGCGGGAUAUCACCAGAUCUUGAUGGAUGAGGAAAGUGCAGAAAAGAUAGCGUUCAUCAUGCCAUGGGGAACAUAUUGCUAUCGGGUAAUGCCAUUUGGUCUAAAGAAUAUUGGGGAAACUUAUAUGAGGGUGAUGACAACAUAUUUCAUGACAUGAUACACAAAGAGAUUGAGGUUUAUGUAGAUGACGUGAUCAUAAAGUCAAAGAAGCAGUCUGACCAUAUCAAGGACUUGAGGAAGUUUUUCCAAAGGCUCCGCAGGUAUAACCUCAAGCUCAAUCCAGCAAAAUAUGCAUUUGGUGUCCCGUCUGGGAAACUGCUGGGAUUCAUGGUCAGUUGACGCGGUAUUGAGUUGGAUCUGUUGAAGAUCAAAGCCAUUCAAGAGCUACCACCGCCCAAGAACAAAACAGAGGUGAUGAGCCUGCUUGGAAGGUUAAAUUACAUCAACAGGUUUAUUGCUCAGCUCACAAGAACUUGUGAGCCCAUCUUUAAGCUACUGAAGAAGAAUGUUGCAGUCAAGUGGACUGACGAGUGUCAAGAAGCAUUUGAUAAGAUUAAGAGGUACUUGUCGAACCCACCUGUGUUGGCCCCACCAGAGCCUGGGAGACCUUUAAUUCUUUAUUUGAUAGUCAUAAAUAAUUCUUUUGGUUGUGUAUUGGGUCAACAUGACAUCAUGGGAAAGAAGGAGCAAGCAAUCUAUUAUCUCAGUAAGAAGUUCACUCCCUAUGAGGUUAAGUACACUCUGCUUGAGAGGACAUGGUGCGCCCUAACUUGGGUAGCACAAAAGUUGAAGUAUUAUCUGUCGUCCUACACUACUUACCUUAUUUCUCGCAUGGAUCCUCUAAAGUAUAUCUUUUAGAAGCCUAUGCCCACGGGAAGACUUACAAAGUGGCAGAUUUUACUUACAGAUUUUGACAUCAUCUAUGUGACUCGGACUGCGAUGAAAGAACAAGCCUUGGCCGACCACUUGGCCGACAAUCUGGUGGAUGAAGAGUAUGAGCCACUAAAGACUUAUUUUCCUGAUGAGGAAGUGAUGCAUGUUGAUGAGGUAGACCAUGAUGAAAAGCCAGGUUGGAAACUCUUCUUUGAUAGAGCUACUAACAUGAAAGGUGUCGGAAUAGGGGUUGUACUCAUCUCUGAAACAGGGCAACACUACCCUGUAACAGCCCAACUUCGAUUUUAUUGCACCAACAACACAGUUGAGUACGAAGCAUGCAUUUUGGGUUUUAGGUUAGCUAUAGACAUGGGAGUCCAGGAAAUACUGGUUCUGGGAGAUUCAGAUUUGUUGGUUCACCAGAUUCAAGGAGAAUGAGAAACUCAGGACUUGAAACUCAUACCGUACCGACAGUGUCUGCAUGAUCUUUGUCAACAAUUCAGGUCGGUAGAAUUCAGACAUAUUCCCAGAGUUCAUAAUGAUAAUGUCGAUGCCUUGGCUACUCUGGCGUCAAUGUUACAUCACCCGGAUAAGGCUUAUGUUGACCACGUGCAUAUCCAAGUUUGUGAUCAGCAUGCUUAUUGUAAUGUGGUUGAAGAGGAAAUUGAUGGCGAACCUUGGUUCCAUGAUAUCAAGGAAUACAUCAAGUUGGGGGUAUAUCCAGUACAUUCCAUGGGUGAUCAAAAAGAACCAUUCGACAUCUGGCUAGUGGAUUUUUCUUAAGUGGGGAAUCUUGUACAAAAGGACUCCAGAUUUGGGAUUGCUGAGGUGCAUAGAUGCUAAAAAAGCUUCAACUAUCAUGGCCGAAGUGCAUUCUGGAGUUUUCGGGUCGCAUAUGAAUGGGUAUGUCUUGGCAAAAAAGAUACUUCGAGCAGGUUAUUAUUGGCUCACCAUGGAACGAGAUUGAAUCAGCUUUGUUCUCAAAUGUCAUCAAUGCUAGGUGCACGGUGAUUUGAUUCAUUCUCCCCCAUAUGAGUUACACACAAUAUCUACACCUUGGCCCUUUGUUGCUUGGAGCAUGGAUGUCAUUGGACCGAUUGAGCCGGCAGCAUCGAACGGGCAUAGGUUUAUUUUGGUGGCCAUUGAUUACUUUACCAAGUGGGUCGAAGCUGUAACUUUCAAGUCCGUUACCAAGAAGGCAGUGGUGGAUUUUUUUCAUUCAAACAUCAUUUAUUGGUUCGAAAUUCUCAAGGUGAUCAUCACAGAUAAUGCUGCCAACCUCAACAGUUAUUUGAUGAAUGAGGUAUGCCAACAGUUCAAGAUUAUGCAUCGAAACUCCACUCUGUACUGUCCCAAGGCGAAUGGAGCUAUUGAGGCUGCUAACAAGAACAUAAAGAAGAUACUUCGUAAGAUGGUGCAAGGUUCUAGACAAUGGCAUGAAAAGUUGCCUUUUGCAUUACUGGGUUAUCGCACUACUGUUCGCACUUCAGUAGGUGCAACUCCUUAUUUGCUAGUAUAUGGAACUGAGGCAGUUAUACCUGCGGAAGUUGAGAUUCCAUCCCUUCGGAUCGUUGGAGAAGCUGAAAUUGAUGAUGAUGAGUGGGUCAAAACCCGGCUAGAGCAGUUGAGUUUGAUUGAUGAGAAAAUAUUGGUUGCAGUAUGUUAAUGGUCAAUUGUAUUAGAAGAGAAUGGAAAGAGCAUACAACAAAAAAGUGCUUCCUCGGAAAUUCAAAGUGGGCCAGAUGGUAUUGAAACGCAUCCCUCCUCAUCAGGCUAAAGCUAAAGGCAAGUUCGCCCCAAACUGGCAGGGGUCGUUCAUAGUGACAAGAGUGUUACCCAAUGGUGCUUUGUAUUUAACAGACAUAGAAGGCAAAUGUGUAGAUAUGGCUAUCAAUUCUGAUGCAGUCAAGAGAUACUAUGUAUGAGUUCUUGCCUUCAAUUGCAUUUUGUACUUGGCAUUGAAAUGACGAAGGCAUUUUGUUCCGCUACCCAAACACUUUCAUCCUUUGCUACCCCCUUUUGGGCCUUAUUUAUUUUCUUUCAUACCCCUCUUUUGGAAUCAGGAGCCGAAUUAGAGAAUGAAAAAAAUGAAAAAAAAAAAGAAGGAAAAAAAAAGAAAAAGAGAAAAAUGAAGAAGGAAAAAAAAGAGAAGAAGAAAAAAAAAGAAAAAAAGCAACAAAAACAAACAACUUUUACUUUUGAACUACGUUCGACCAGAUUCCUUUUAAGGAUACGUAGGCAGCCUUACACGGUUCGGUCCUAUCAAAAUAAAAAAAUCCAAAAUUCCCCAGACCUAAAGAAAUUGGGGCAGCAAUUUUGGUUUUGAAAAAGAUCUGAUUCCAAAAGUUGUAAUUUUGAACCCUUUUCAUCUUAAAUUAUUUUGAGCCUUCAUGUCACCCCAUCUUUCUAACCCUAUCCAAAAGCCUACAUUACGGUCCAAAUAAAGACCUUCCGAUCAAUCUUUGAAGAUGCCAAGUCAAGCGAUAUAGAGGUAUGAUUUACAUGAUGGGUAGCACUUUAUUCAUGGGCACAAGAGAGAAAAUUUAAAACGAGAGAGUCUUAUUGGUAAAAACCUUCACGGGCACCGUAAAGCGAUGGUGAGGUGAGAGAAAAUUUAAAAUGAGAGAGUCUUAUUAGUGAAAACCCUCGCGCGCACCAUAAGGCGAUGGUGAGUUGAGAGAUGAACAAAUGAGAGAGGCUUGUUGGUGAAAACCCUUCGGGGCACUACAAGUUGAAUGAGGCUCCUGACUUUACGGAGAAAUUGGAUCAGUGAAAGCCCGGUUUUUGAAGUAUGAAGACAUGAACUGAAAGUAUGAUUAGUUGAACGGAUUAGGUUGAUCAAUCCGAAAUGCGUGUCAUGAUUAUUGAAGCUAGCCGCUUCACUCAGAUAAGUCUUCUUUUCCCAUUCUUCUUCACAUAGUCAUUUGUGUUCAAAUUUUCCUUUGUUCCUUUUGCCAAAAAUCAUCUCACUUUGCUCUUUGAAUCUAUCUUUAUGAGUCUCUUCCGAGUUAGCCUUUGUUGAACAAGCAGGAAUGGAUUCCAAAGCCUACUACUAGCUUCUAAAUUGCCCAAAGCGGAGUUCGGCCAGGUACAUCACAAUUGACAUGAUUUAGAAUAAGCAGUAUGGUGAUAACUGAGGUUCAGUCAAUUAAGUGAAUCUUGAAUUUUGAGAAAAUACAAGGAUGCAGCAGCUUUCAGAAUGAAAACACUAUGCAACAAGUGAGUGUGAGAGAUUUAGGUCAUUCAGAGGUUUUGUGGUCCAGUUUCAAUCAAAAGGUCAAACAACUUCUUGCUAGCCCGAAGUAGCUGAUCAGAAUGAAGCAUGGCAGUGGCAAAAGCAGACACUCAGCAAUGAUGCCACAAAUUAACCACCGUAUUUUCAAACUAACAAAAUUUUAUUUGUCUGAAACAGGGGCAAGAAAAAUUGUUAAUCUACAGGGACCCUCCCAUGAAGAAGGCAUGGUUCAGGGACAAGAAAUUUUGUUCAGAAUCCUUCAAGAAGAGAGCAUGGCUCAGGUAAGUUCAUUCUCGGUUUUUCAGGACCCUCCUGGAUAAUGGGAUUUAGUUUUCAAGUUUUCAAGACCCUCCUGGAUAAUGAGAUUUAGUUUUAAGUUUUCAGGACCCUCCUGGAUAAUGGGAUUUAGUUUUAAGUUUUCAAGACCCUCCUGGAUAAUGGGAUUUAAUUUUCAAGUUUUCAGGACCCUCUUGGAUAAUGGGAUUUAGGUUUUUAAGCUUUCAGAACCCUCCUGGAUAAUGGGAUUUAGUUUUAAGUUUUCAAGACCCUCCUGGAUAAUGGAAUUUAGUUUUAAGUUUUUAGGACCCUCCUGGAUAAUGGGUUUAGUUUAAGUUUCCAGGGCCCUCCUGGAUAAUGGGAUUUAGUUUUAAAAGCUUUCAGGACCCUCCUGGAUAAUGAGAUUUAAUUUAAAACUUUCAGGGCCCUCCUGGAUAACGGGAUUUAGUUUUAAAAGUUCUCAGGACCCUCCUAGAUAAUGGAACCUAGUUAAAUUUCAAGGCCUCCAUAGAUAACAANNNNNNNNNNNNNNNNNNNNNNNNNNNNNNNNNNNNNNNNNNNNNNNNNNNNNNNNNNNNNNNNNNNNNNNNNNNNNNNNNNNNNNNNNNNNNNNNNNNNNNNNNNNNNNNNNNNNNNNNNNNNNNNNNNNNNNNNNNNNNNNNNNNNNNNNNNNNNNNNNNNNNNNNNNNNNNNNNNNNNNNNNNNNNNNNNNNNNNNNNNNNNNNNNNNNNNNNNNNNNNNNNNNNNNNNNNNNNNNNNNNNNNNNNNNNNNNNNNNNNNNNNNNNNNNNNNNNNNNNNNNNNNNNNNNNNNNNNNNNNNNNNNNNNNNNNNNNNNNNNNNNNNNNNNNNNNNNNNNNNNNNNNNNNNNNNNNNNNNNNNNNNNNNNNNNNNNNNNNNNNNNNNNNNNNNNNNNNNNNNNNNNNAUGUUUUUGGCAAUCAGGUGCCCACCUGGAUAACAGAGGAAUACUGUUCAACUUUUGGCAAUCAGGCACCCACCUAGAGAACAAGGGAAUACAAUUCAAGUUUUGGCAAUCAGGUGCCCACCUGGAGAACAAGGAAAUUCAUUUCAGAGUUACUUUCAAUUCGCAAAUUCAAGAAGCAUCAAGAUCCCACCUGAAGAACAUGGUUUAUUUUUCAGUUUCAUGUUGGAGAUCAAGUAGAGAUACAAGGAAGAUUCAAGAUAAGAAGUAGAUAGGAUUCUGUAUUUUCUUUUACUUUUGCUGUAAUUUUUCCUUUUAUUUUUGAUGUAAUGGCAGGAACUGCGGACCGGAACCUCGAUGGCACUUCACUCAACUCUCCACCUCAGUAUACUCCAUCGCUCUUCUCACUCCGAACUACUCGUGGCCUGAUUCCUUUAUAGACAAGGAUAUGUAGGCAGCUCAGAUACCAGGGCUUGGUCACUUUCUCUUUUCUUUUAGUUUUGUCUCUAAAUAAGAGUCGGGUCAAAAAAACAUGUUUUGUUGUUCUUUGUCUGAAAACACUUCGUGUUUCCCAUCAAAGAGAGGCAGCUGUAGACAUGUAAUUUUUGACCCGCACAUUAGAAUUACCUUUAAUAGUCCUAGUAUUUUUAGGAUAUUUAUUUGAGUUUAUUUCUAUAUGAUUUUACUUUAUUAUUAAUUUUAAUUCUAUUUUUAAAGGCACAAAAAUUGAAAAAUACAAAAAUAGUUUCAUGUUUUAUCUUAUUUCUAUUUGGUUUAGGUUAUUAAUAUUUUUAUAGCGAUACUAUUUUUAAUUUUACCAUGACAUUAACGUAUUUUUCUUUUAGUAUAAUCUCUGAAAAUACAAAAAACAAUUAAACUUUAUAUUGUGGUUUAUCUUAAUUUAGUUUUGUAUUUUUAUUCCUUAUUAAUAAUUUAUAAUACUCUUAUUUUAUUCAAAGAAAGAAUGAUUUGUGGUAGUUGUUUUAAUUGGAUUUCAAAGUUGGCCCAAUUUUGGGAAUUUCAGCAGCUCAAUCCCCUCAACCCAAUCCCAUGACCCCAAUACCCGCCCGACCCGUGCCCAGCCACCUGACACGCCCCAUCCCUUCUUAAAUCUCAAUCUUCCAUUCCAUUCCAAUCCAACAGCCCACAACUAAUUCCCCAACCAUAUAAAAUCUUACCAUUUGCUAACCCUAACCCUAAAGACAACUCCAAACGGCGCCCACCCCUCUUUUCCUCCACUGUCGCCGCGAGCCACCUUCGAUCCACCAGAAAAUCCAUGUUGUCGUCCAUCCAUGUCACGCGUCCCCUCCCUUCAAUGGUCCCCUCCUUCCACAUCACUGAAAUCCCAACGAAUCUCAUAAUUAUAGACGCAUUUUCUCGCUCUCUAAGUUGGAAUCGAAUAAAUGGAGGUCGUAGAUUGAAUCAUUGUCAAUCUAGACCCUCUAUUUGUUCGAUUUCGAACUAUAAAAGAGAGAAAUCAGAGAAAAAUUGGAGGUCUGGGAGGAGAAAAUUUCAGAGACGGAAAGCUAGGGUUUUAGUUCCGAUUUGGCAAUCUUUGUCUUCUAAUUUCAGUUUCAUUCAUAUAAAGAACGUUAGAGUUUUUUUUGGUUUGUUCUUUUUAUUUCCUAAACAGAAAACAAAAAAAGCAUAUACUAGCUUCUUGACUUGGUUUUCAACUAUGGAGUUUGAUUGAGGUUUGUCGUGGAGUCGAAGCCGUCGUUCUGCGACAGCUCGUGGUUUCUAUCGAGUCUCGGAUUUCAAUAGCUGGUUUCCUUUUCAAGCUCGUUGCCAAGUUUUAUACUGCUUGUAUCACAUUCGAACAUCAAGGGAUAAUCAAAAUCUCAAUUUUAAGGUUCAUACCUUAUCCUUUACUGCUUUCAUAUGGAUCCAAGUAUGAUAAGUGCUAAGUUAAUCUAAUUUAUGGAGUAUUUGAGAAUCGGUUCGAAUAAGUUAACUGAAAUUGAUUGACGUUCUUAACUUCCAUUAUAUGUUGAAGUAUAUUUCAAGUUCAGAUUUGUCUAGUAUAAGAUGAUCGAGUCGUUGGCUGCAUUUUUUUAAGUUUGUUUCAUUUGUUGGCUAAGUUUAACCAGAAACUGAUUCGAAGCUUUCUCUAGUGGUUACUCAUCUUUGUCGAACUAGUUCAUUAGUUUGUGAAUGGUAAUUGAGCUUGAUUCUGUUUGGUUCGAUAUGUUUUGAUCAAGGUCUAGAUGGUUGUGUUACUGUCGAACAGAUUGUGGCCCGUUAGUAUGCUUUUCUUGGUUUUAUAGUAUGACCAUGUCCAUGUUUUGGCAGUAAGAAAAAAAAGUGAUUCUAAAUUGGGAUUAAUGGUUCUGUUUCCUCUAUAGUCAUGACUUAACGCUAGGCUAACUUGUGUGCUUGGUUCAUUCUUAAACUCGUGAGUCGACA
Molecule: long non-coding RNA, 17481 nt
Filed under: Nicotiana tabacum (common tobacco)
Lineage: Eukaryota; Viridiplantae; Streptophyta; Magnoliopsida; Solanales; Solanaceae
Description: long non-coding RNA (NTAB_LNC012198)
Source: RNAcentral